This 1523-nucleotide ribosomal RNA is filed under the name Psychrobacter phenylpyruvicus. RNAcentral's name for it is "bacterial SSU rRNA". It matches the Rfam family "Bacterial small subunit ribosomal RNA". Lineage: Bacteria; Pseudomonadati; Pseudomonadota; Gammaproteobacteria; Moraxellales; Moraxellaceae. The record is from RNAcentral.
AGAGUUUGAUCAUGGCUCAGAUUGAACGCUGGCGGCAGGCUUAACACAUGCAAGUCGAGCGGAAACGAUGGGAGCUUGCUCCCAGGCGUCGAGCGGCGGACGGGUGAGUAAUACUUAGGAAUCUGCCCAGUAGUGGGGGAUAGCUCGGGGAAACUCGAAUUAAUACCGCAUACACCCUACGGGGAAAAGGGGGCGCUUGCGCUCUCGCUAUUGGAUGAGCCUAAGUCGGAUUAGCUAGUUGGUGGGGUAAAGGCCUACCAAGGCGACGAUCUGUAGCUGGUCUGAGAGGAUGAUCAGCCACACCGGGACUGAGACACGGCCCGGACUCCUACGGGAGGCAGCAGUGGGGAAUAUUGGACAAUGGGGGCAACCCUGAUCCAGCCAUGCCGCGUGUGUGAAGAAGGCCUUUUGGUUGUAAAGCACUUUAAGCAGUGAAGAAGACUCUAUGGUUAAUACCCAUAGACGAUGACAUUAGCUGCAGAAUAAGCACCGGCUAACUCUGUGCCAGCAGCCGCGGUAAUACAGAGGGUGCAAGCGUUAAUCGGAAUUACUGGGCGUAAAGCGAGCGUAGGUGGCUUGAUAAGUCAGAUGUGAAAUCCCCGGGCUUAACCUGGGAACUGCAUCUGAUACUGUUAGGCUAGAGUAGGUGAGAGGGAGGUAGAAUUUCAGGUGUAGCGGUGAAAUGCGUAGAGAUCUGAAGGAAUACCGAUGGCGAAGGCAGCCUCCUGGCAUCAUACUGACACUGAGGUUCGAAAGCGUGGGUAGCAAACAGGAUUAGAUACCCUGGUAGUCCACGCCGUAAACGAUGUCUACUAGUCGUUGGGGAACUUGAUUCCUUAGUGACGCAGCUAACGCAAUAAGUAGACCGCCUGGGGAGUACGGCCGCAAGGUUAAAACUCAAAUGAAUUGACGGGGGCCCGCACAAGCGGUGGAGCAUGUGGUUUAAUUCGAUGCAACGCGAAGAACCUUACCUGGUCUUGACAUAUCUAGAAUCCUGCAGAGAUGCGGGAGUGCCUUCGGGAAUUAGAAUACAGGUGCUGCAUGGCUGUCGUCAGCUCGUGUCGUGAGAUGUUGGGUUAAGUCCCGCAACGAGCGCAACCCUUUUCCUUAGUUACCAGCGGUUUGGCCGGGGACUCUAAGGAUACUGCCAGUGACAAACUGGAGGAAGGCGGGGACGACGUCAAGUCAUCAUGGCCCUUACGACCAGGGCUACACACGUGCUACAAUGGUAGGUACAGAGGGCAGCUACACAGCGAUGUGAUGCGAAUCUCAAAAAGCCUAUCGUAGUCCAGAUUGGAGUCUGCAACUCGACUCCAUGAAGUCGGAAUCGCUAGUAAUCGCGGAUCAGAAUGCCGCGGUGAAUACGUUCCCGGGCCUUGUACACACCGCCCGUCACACCAUGGGAGUUGAUUGCACCAGAAGUGGGUAGCCUAACUUUUAGAGGGCGCUCACCACGGUGUGGUCGAUGACUGGGGUGAAGUCGUAACAAGGUAGCCGUAGGGGAACCUGCGGCUGGAUCACCU